AAUAAGUGGCAAAGUAAACAAAGUUAAAAAUGAACAAAAUGAUUAAAAAUUAGCAGAAAUUAACAAAAUAAUCAUGAAAAUAAGCAGAAAACAAGCACAUAAAUAAACAAGAUCAUUAAUAAAUUGUAUUUCAGCAACAAAUUAAUUAAAACUGAUGAAAUAAUGUGAUUUGAUUUGUUUUUGCUCCAAAAUACCCUGAAAAUUCACUUAUGUAAUCAGAGGUUUUCCACAAAACAUGGUCUAGAUGUGGACAGAUCUAAAUGUGGAUCAUGGUCUUGGUGCAGAUGUGGAUCAUGGUCUUUCGUGCAGGGGGCCAAAGCGGGCUAAAGUGGGCCAAAGCGGGUCAAAGUGGGUUAAAGUGGGCCAAAGCAGGUAAACCCUGGUCACCCUGCGUCUCUGUUCUGUCUCUGGUGUCGUCGUCGGUGGUCUACAGUGUUUCCAGUGUUGGUGUGGGUUCACUCUGUUCCUCCGGGGUCAGAGGUCAACGGAGGAGGCUCAGAUGGACAGAUGGACAGACGGACCGGACCUCACGCCUCCUCCGGCCUCUUGUUAAAGCCAUAGAACACAGAGCUGCACCUGAACGCACCACGGACUCCCCAGUGGAAACGCCAUCAGAUGGACAUGAUGUUUGGACCCACUGUGUCUCUGCUGGACCUGUGAUGUUCUGUUGAUGUUCUAGUGUUUAUGGAGACCAGGUCCAAAGGAGACCAACGGGGUCCACCAUGUGGGACAUGAGGACCUACAUUUAGAUCCAACAAAUGAACGCACAGUAACAAGAACAUUUUGUCUCAGACGCCGAAAUAAAUGAAAUAAGGAACAAAAAUAAUAAAUUUGUCAAUAACAUGAACAAAAUAAUCGAUAAAAUAAACAAAUAAACCUGAAUCCUGCAGCGGAUCAGUGAACUGGACUAAAUGUAGACCCUUGGCUCAGUUUGGGAAAGGGGUCAAAGGUUAAAAAGGCUGUUCAGUCCCUCAGAGACCUGGUCAGACCUGGUUAAGGAAGACCUGGUUCAACCUGGUCAGACCCACAUCAUGAAGACCUGGUUCAACCUGGUCAGACCCAGUUUAGCCAGACCCGGUCCAGCAUGAGUAGACCUGGUCCAUAACUGAGUUAAACCUGGUCCUUUGUGGUCCAUCCUGAUCAGAGCUGGUUCUUUGUGGUCCAUCCUGAUCAGACCUGGUCCUUCCUGGUCCUUUGUGGUCCAUCCUGGUCAGACUUGGUCCUCCCUGGUCCUUUGUGGUCCUCCCU
This is a long non-coding RNA of Sphaeramia orbicularis (orbiculate cardinalfish), 1248 nucleotides long. RefSeq lists it as uncharacterized. NCBI's taxonomy places the organism in Eukaryota, Metazoa, Chordata, Actinopteri, Kurtiformes, Apogonidae. The transcript has 3 exons. The record is from RefSeq and is a predicted model, not a curated record.